This 181-nucleotide ribosomal RNA is filed under the name Candidatus Segetimicrobium genomatis. Its description in RNAcentral is "Terrabacteria group bacterium ANGP1 partial 23S ribosomal RNA". It matches the Rfam family "Bacterial large subunit ribosomal RNA", at positions 2746 to 2925 of the family's 2925-position model. Lineage: Bacteria; Bacillati; Candidatus Sysuimicrobiota; Candidatus Sysuimicrobiia; Candidatus Sysuimicrobiales; Candidatus Segetimicrobiaceae. The record is from RNAcentral.
UACCUAUGUCCGGACGGGAUAAGCGCUGAAAGCAUCUAAGCGCGAAACCCACCCCAAGAUAAGGCCACCCACCGGGUAACCGGGUAAGCCCCCAGGUAGACUACCUGGUUGAUAGGCCGGAGGUGUAAGCGCCGUAAGGCGUUGAGCUGACCGGUACUAAUCGGGCGAGGGCUUGAUCACU